CUGGGACUUGGCCUGGACACUUCACCUACUGCACAGAGCUCUCUUUGUCCCACUGUGUCCCUGAGCCGUGGACCAGGAGCUGCGCGAGAACUUUGUGAAGUCUGUGCAGCGUUGAUAUGCCCUGGCCCAGGUACUGGUGGAGCAGAACUUGCCAGCCAUUGCCAUACACUGUGAGACCCUUCAGGAGGAGAGUAGUUUAAAGGUCUUCAAUAUCGAAUUCUUGUGGCCAGCAACCUAUGUGGCCAAGGCAUGGACAUUAAGCAGGUGAACUCUGCCAUCGACUACCACCGGCCUGGCGAUUCCCACACCUACCUG
Puma concolor (puma) is the source of this 315-nucleotide non-coding RNA. The record is from RefSeq and is a predicted model, not a curated record. NCBI's taxonomy places the organism in Eukaryota, Metazoa, Chordata, Mammalia, Carnivora, Felidae.